Hippocampus zosterae (dwarf seahorse) is the source of this 545-nucleotide long non-coding RNA. RefSeq lists it as uncharacterized. The transcript is spliced from 3 exons. The record is from RefSeq and is a predicted model, not a curated record. NCBI's taxonomy places the organism in Eukaryota, Metazoa, Chordata, Actinopteri, Syngnathiformes, Syngnathidae.
GUAUCUUGGGGUCUUGUUCACGAGUGAGGGCAGGAGGGAGCGAGAGAUCGACAGGCGGAUCGGUGCAGCGUCUGCUGUGAUGCGGACGUUGUAUCGGUCUGUCGUGGUGAAGAAGGAGCUGAGCCAAAGGGCGAAGCUCUCAAUUUACCGGUCGAUCUACGUUCCAACCCUCAUCUAUGGUCACGAGCUAUGGGUCGUGACCGAAAGAACGAGAUCCCGGAUACAAGCGGCCGAAAUGAGUUUUCUCCGCAGGGUGUCCGGGCUCUCCCUUAGAGAUAAGGUGAGAAGCUCUGUCAUCCGGGAGGGGCUCAGAGUCGAGCCGCUUCUCCUCCACAUCGAGAGGAGCCAGAUGAGGUGGCUCGGGCAUCUGAUUCGGAUGCCUCCCUGGUGAGGUGUUUCGGGCAUGUCCCGCUGGCAGGAGACCCCGCGGACGACCCAGGACACGCUGGAGAGACUAUGUCACCCAGCUGGCCUGGAAACGCCUCAGGAUCUGACAGGAAGAGCUCGAAGAAGUGGCUGGGGAGAGGGAAGGCUGGGCUGCCCCC